Molecule: long non-coding RNA, 1589 nt
Organism: Felis catus (domestic cat)
Lineage: Eukaryota; Metazoa; Chordata; Mammalia; Carnivora; Felidae
Exons: 3
Source: RefSeq, a predicted model, not a curated record
GUUUAAACGGAUGACGGAAGGCUCCCUGGCCAAUGGGGACACGUAAUGGUGGAAUGGCGUCACGGGGCUCGUAAGCGCCAGUCCUUGAUGGAGAAGGCGGUGCCAGGGGGCGGGAAGGAGUGGAGAGUAACCAAUGGGGACCUUGUCUAGGUCGGGCCAAGCCGUUCGUAGCCAACGAAGUUCGUCAGUUUUGUAUAUGCAAAUUAGGUGUGCGCGGCCGUCCGCGCCCGCUCCUCAGCCCGCGGUGGGGAUGGGCGCUGGGAGUCGGCUGCAUUUUUCUACGAGGCGCCAUUUUGUGCGGGCACUGCCCUGUGACCCGUGUCGUGUGUCGCGGGCGGGGCAGGAGCAGGUUGCACGGCCUUGAGGGCUUGGCCGUCUGUGGCCUGUGACUCUGGCCAGGCGGCAAUCACGACGUCGGGUUUCUGUUUCCCCACACGGGAAGCGGGCGCCGGGCUCCCUCCGGAUGUGCCGGAAGGAGGUCGGGGCCUGGCGCUGCCCACCAGUGGUCCUGUCUCCACCCUGUAGCCCCGCGGCGGUGUCCCCGUGUCCCCGACGGACCUCGCCACCCUGCAGCCCCGCGCCGGGGAAUGGUGUCCCCUUGUCGUCGCCGUGUCCCGGGCACCGGCCUCGGCCUCCCAUCCCUGCCCGCCACGCGUCCCGGGAAGACCCCUGAGCUGCCUCCCUCGUGCAUGCGGCCCGAGCUCCAGCAGCAGGGACCCCACUGUUGUGGUCGUAAGCAGCACCCAUGGAGGAUCCGCCGCGUACUGGCGAGCCCCAGCUGGCCCUCAGUCCCAGCCAGUCGGUUGCAGGGGACUCUGACCCGAGGGGCGCUCAAGGACACUGAGGGAAAAAGCAGGGGCCUCGCCCAGGUUCCCCCCCCCCAAGCAGAGACAAGGUCGAGGUGGUAUGGUAGUCAAGCCCGGCCCUGCUGCAAGGAUGCAUCCAAAAGACACAACCGUGCCGAUAGUGACGGUCACGAUGCAGCCCCUGCGAGCUGUGUGCCAGGCACUGCCCUCGUUCCAUUGCAGACGGCAACCCUGUCGGGUGGGAGCGCGAUGUGCACGCACGAAGCUUUUGGAAUAGGCGGAGGGAGGAGCCGCGGGAGGCUCUGAGCCGAGCGCGACUCCGUCUGACUUCUGGUCGAGAACAGAGAGGCCGAGGAGGAAGUGCUGGCAGCCAUGGAGGUGGGGAUGAAGACCGUGCUGAGCAGACCUGCAGCCUGCAGAACCAGGAGGUGGCACAUUUCUGUUGCGUGAGCUGCUCGGUUCAGCGGCCCCAGCAAACCAACAGCACAGAGCACCCCGCUUCGGCCAGACUCAGCCAAAGGCCUCAGGUAGAAGGAGGUGCAAACACAUGCUUAAAUGCACAGAGGGAAGAGGCUUUCUUUGGAAGAAACCGAGGACUUUUCAAGGUGCUGUACCGGUCCCUCCCACACCCAGCUCCUUGCUUGGUGACAGACGGGGGGGGGGGGGGGGGGGGCAGCCCUGACCACCGGUAUGGACUCUUAGAUGCCCACCCCCGCCUCGGCCAGUGACACACACGCAGAGGUGGAAACCCAUUUCUUCUCGACAGUAAACCUUGAGACUGGG